Solanum tuberosum (potato) is the source of this 104-nucleotide non-coding RNA. NCBI's taxonomy places the organism in Eukaryota, Viridiplantae, Streptophyta, Magnoliopsida, Solanales, Solanaceae. The record is from RefSeq and is marked provisional.
GAGUUUUUCGAAAAUCUAUGGGAAUUGGUGGAUUGGAAAGCUUUUAUUUUCUUCUGAUUAGCUUUCCAAUUCCACCCAUUCCUAUGGUUUUUCGGUAUCCUCUC